CUCAGCACACCUCUGGUUAAAAAGUUGAAGUUAUUAAGUGCUUGACUUUUUCCUAUUUUUAAUUAUCAAAACAUUUGGGGCUUUCUAUCUAUCUUUCUAGCAAACCUAUUUCAGUCCAACAUUUCUCUCAAACCACUUCUCUCUGCUUGACUCUAAUUUUCACAUAUGUAUAUAAUAGCCAGUUACUUCAGAGGGUUUGUGGUCCAUCUUUUUAAACUUUGGGUUAGUAAGAGUUCAUGCUCUUUUCUGAUCCAGAGAUUUUUCUCUCCUACGGGUACAUACAUGCUCUCUUCAGAGACGGAAGCACACACCCGCCCAUUCUAACCAAUAAGAGGGAGGCUUCUGCAUUCUGGAAUGAGAGCAAGGUCAUCAACAGCAUGGAUCUUUUGUUUUUCCUUUAUUUCACAAUUUGUUGUCACUAUUCUUUAGUGAAAUAUUAUGUCCUAUGAAAAUUUGGAACCGGUAAGUUUGUAGAAAAACAGAUAUUAUAAAGAGAUGUAUAGACCAGUGAAUGCUUAUUUUUCCUUUGUAAUAUAAUUGUGAUUAUAAAGUCUUACAAAUACUGUAGGAAAUGAUUUUCAAACACUUAAUUUUAUUUUUAACAAUACCUUCUACUAUGGAUUGAGAAAUAAAAUAUUACUCCUAUGAUUUGUUACCCUUACCCUUCAUCAGAAAUUUUACCUUUUUUUAAUAUUUAUUUGAACGUUACCAGGUUCAAAUAAACACAUUCUUCUUCAUUGCAUGUGUUCUUUUGAUCAUAUAAUAAAGAGAAGUUAACUUUUAAUGUUAAUCAGUGUUAUAUGAGAAAUACUUUAAAAUGUUAAUACUGCGGGUUGGGGAUUUAGCUCAGUGGUAGAGCGCUUGCCUAGCAGGACAAGGCCCUGGGUUCAGUCUCCAGCUCUGAAAAAAAAAUGUAAAUACUGGGACAGUGAAAUGACACAGAGGGUAAAGGUACUUGCUUCCAAGUCUGAGGACCUGAAUCCACUUGGUGGAAAGAAAAUCUGCCUUCUGCAUGCUACCCACUGACCUCUGUACCCAUACCUGGAAUGCAUGACCACCCUAUACCCCCUAAAAUAAUAAAUGAAAAAAGAAGUAAAGAUUAAUAUUUGAAUACCUUUUGGUAAUCUGUAGAGGAUCAUCAAGGACUGGGCCAUUAACAAAUGUUUCCUUAUCAAAAAGUCUCUAUGACAUAGUUUGCCAGUUGUUCCAUAAGAAAGUAUUCAUUAAUGUGCAAAAAACAUGAUUCUCUCCUUGAGAACACACAUGGAUACUCUCUGAUAGUGUAACAGUUGAAUUCUUUUCAAGUUUUGACAUCACGUUCCAGGCGAUAAUGAAUUUAUCUGAAGAUAAGUAAGUGUGAUUAAAUUCUCAAUAUUUAUUUAUGUUUGUAAACCAGUUACUUUAUCAAGACCACUGGCAAAAUGCCACAGUAUUUUUUAGAUCAAGGUUUAGUUAAAAUUUUGAAGCACUAUCAUAAAUAUAUGUCAGCAAUUUUAAAAACAAAUAUAUGUUCAUGUUUUUUUUGUUUUUAAUAUUAUUGGGACUAAACCCAAAGCCUUAUUUAUGUAUACCACCAAUGUGCUCUGCUACUGAGAUAUAUAUCCAAUACUUGGAACAGAUAUCUUUUUAAAGAAUUAGAAAAUGAUUUUGAUAUGUUUCUUUAUACAUAAUUAUCUAAUUAUGCAACCAUUGACGUAAAAGCUAUACACAUGCUAUAAGUAGUAUCAUUUGAUUUUUUUAUGGCUUCAAAUUAGUAUGUAGCUUAUGAGGUACAAUGUCUACUAGUUAAUGUUGUAUGUUUAAGAGUAGAAUUAACAUAUACAUUAACGCAAGUAGGUAGCCGCUUACAAGAUAAUACAUGCUUAUCAUUUAAAAUUCAUCUGCUGCUCAUAAAGUCAAUGACUUUUCUGUACACAUUUUAAUUGUUCCCUGUGUUACAUAAAGAGCCUUAAAGGGAUUGUUGAAACCUUUUUGGUAUGUAUAUAAUUCAAUUAGUUUUAAUAUCAAUCCCUUUACUAUAUAAACAGUCUAACAGCACUGAGUUGAAAGGACAGUCAGAUAUUCAAAGCCGUGAUCAACUUUAAACACUUACUUUCUGAUCCUAGCAAGAAAGAGUAGAAGUUCAUAAAGUUGGUACUAUACAGAGCCAACCCUGACAAAGAACCUGUCCUUUCCAAUAACUGAAGGAAUAUUAACUUACUAGUUUUUCCUGCUCUGUUAAACCAAAAGAUUUUUAAAAUUUCAAAAGGACUUCUGAAAAUUUCCCAGGAUCAUCUUGUUUAGCAAAAUAAUGUCUUCCCUCUUUAGCAAUUAGUCCUCUUAUUUUGCCAUAUACAAAAAGAUUAAUACCUUCAUUUGAACCGAGCACAGAUAACAUCUUCAUAAUAUCUUGUUCCAAGCCACAUGCAAUUGGCAAGUGCACUUGAGAAUCUUGUGUCUGGUGUGGGGUGCAAAAUGGAGCUACUUCAGGAGUAGAGUGUAAGACAGAAUCAAGAGUCCCAACCAAAAGACCUGUAAGUCCCCCUCUGCCUUCCUCCUGUAGCCUCCAUGGCAAGACAAAGUACUCCUUGGAUCUUUCCAUCAGCCACAGUUUCAGUGUGUUUUUUCAAAAGCACUUCCUAGGGCUUCAGCCACUUCUCAAAGAACUUUGUGCUGGCUCAGGAGCAGUGACAUAAUUGUGCCCCACUUCCAACCCCGGCCUGUCUUUACACCUCUACUUCUCCUCCCACCAAAUCUUUCCUUGGUGGACGCACCUUCGGAGGUUUUCCACACUUUCCCCAACUGUGCCUUCUCUCCCACGUAGGAUUGUAUAUGUUUCUACGUGGAACGUAUUUUUCUCUCUUAUUUUGCAGUCAGGAAUGCAUUAUUAGUUUAAGUUCAUCCAUCCUUAAAUUAGUUGAAAAGUUUUCCUUCCCUUGGUUUAGAUUGUUUAUAGAUACUGGCAAUCAUUUAUAACAAGCCUGACUUUUCCACCUUCAUUUGAGGCAAGGUCUCUUGCUUGCUGUUAUGCAUGCCUGGGUAUCUGACUCAUAAGCCUACACUGAUGCUCCACCUCCGAUUCCACUGUAGGUGCAGUGUGAUUCAAACUGUGGUCCUCAUGCAUAUGUCCUCAUGUGGUCCUCAUGCAAUAGCAAAGAGUGCUAUUGGAUAUGUUAUAUAAUUGUGUUUGUUUUUACUUAUAAACAUGUAUAGAUACAUUUUUCUCUUUAUAUCUGUGUUCUCUAAAGCAUUUUCACUCAAAAACUGCAAAUGGCUCUGUACUUACUAGACCUUCCUUGUUUCUGAGGAAGCAUAUUGUCUUCUCUUCUUUAGCAUCUAUUUUGAAAGCUUAUUUGUACAAAUGGAAACUCAUCCUUGCAGUCUUAAUAAAUCAUCCUUCAAAUCUAUGUCUAUUUAUCUCAUUAUUCCACAUUUUAUGUAUUCACUUUAAGGUAGUAAAAAUUUCUGUGGUGAUUAUAAUACUUCAUUUUUCACUUAGGCUAUUAUAAUUAAUUACCACUGUCAAAAAUAAAAUUGGAUCAAAUUUCUUAAAAGUUAAAGUACAUUAUGGAAAGUGAAGUUCAUAAUAAUACCAUGGUAAUACUAUGUAUUGUUGUAAAGCAGUAAGAAAAUAGGUUUUUAAGUGCUCUAAUCAUAAAAAGGCCAACUAUGUGCAGUGAUGUAUUGCCAAUUAGCUUGACAGCUAUUGCACUUUAGCUAUCUCUCUGUCUGUCUGUCUGUCUGACUGUCUGUCUGUCUGUCUAUCUAUCCCCCGUGUGUGUGUGUGUGUGUGUUUCAUACAUCCUGCUAUUCAGAUGUAUGCCACCUUAAAUAUCAAUUUUAAAAGAAAUGGAAACAAUUGUACCAGGAACAAAAAUUCACAAAUACAAAGAACUCGACCCAGAGUGGCUAUAGGAAUAGGAGUUUUACAUCAUGGUCUCGGGGGCUGGAGUCUAUAUUCUUUUGAAUAAACAUAUCAUGACUCUACAUAAAUAUAAAUAGCAUAUAAUAUGUUAUAGAUAUUUCAUAUAUAUCACUAUAAAGAUCUUUUUUCAAAGUUGCAAGAUUUAUUAAUCCUUAUAUAGAUAUGAAUAUGCAUAUAGUUAGAGAUCUUGAGUGCUUUCCUUAGGGUCUUUCCAAAAUUUUAUUAGCUCAUUGUAAAUUGCAGUUUCCACACAGAUCUGUCUCUAAUGCUCUAACCUAUCUUUGUUUUGCUACCUCAUAUACACCAACUGUCUCUUUUCCAACAUGUACUCCCAGUCUCUAAUGACUAACAUUCAAUUUCCUUCUUUCAGACCAACAUUUUAAUCUUCCAUGUGUGAGAAUAUGUGACAUUUGUGUUCCUGUGCUAAGCCAGCUUGGAAAAUAAACAUGAAAUAGUUAUUUGCAUUUGACUAAUUGUUUUUGAAGGCUUUUCCAAGAUGGUUUAAAGUGAGCAUCUAUCUAGUUUUUGGAGAAGUAGUUUAAUUUAUUAUCAUCAGAGGCAUUUGUAAAAGGUAAGCUAAGCUGACUUUGAUUAUGAAGAUUGCCUAAUUGAUUAUUAGGCUACUUCUGGAAAAUUCAAACAAAUAUACAAAGUGUAAUUUAUGAUACAUGAUAGUGCUUUCAAAGAGAAUUUGAAACUAAAAAACAAAACAAAACAAAACAAAAAAAAACCCAAAACAAUAAUUCGGAUUCAAAGUCAGGUAGCAGAAAUAAGAAUAAAUAAAUAGAAGAUGAGGGAAGAUGCAAGAAAAAUACAUACAGCUCAGAUUGGUAGAAUCAUGGUCCAAAGUACUUUCAAGAACAUUUCCUGAGUCUACUAAUAUCCAUCCAAAGUCCAUGUGUAUUUCCUAUUAUCUAUUGUCUCAUUAUUGUGCAUCUUUACUUCUUUAUCCAUGCCCUCGUUCUUUUAAUCUCAUCUAGGAUAGAGGAGGGAGUGCAUUCUGCAUUCUGCUAAUAUUCAACACAAAUGGAACAUUCCAGGCAUAAAUUCAAAGCUCUGCAGAUUGCCACUAACCACACGCUCCCACAAAAAGGACCCCAUCACUUUAAUGAGGCAACAAACUAAGGAGUAUUCUUCAUAUGAAAACAAAAGGGACAAGAAAGACAUAUAGGAAGAAUGAUUUGGAGAUUGGGAGUGUCCUCACAGUAACUAACACAUCUCCCUCACACUGCUGUUUACAGCUGUACUUCUCCAAGGUUAUAGCAUUUACAAGAAAUAGUGUUAUUUCUCCAAAUAGCACAGCAUCUAUCUAAUACAAAUCAUCAGCCCUACUGAUUUUUUUCUUCAGUGUGAUUGAAAAUUAGAUGGAAAUGUACUAAGAACUUGUCCAUGGGAGGAAGGAAAUAAGAAAUACAGAUACUCAUAUGUCCUCUAAGGGAGCAUACGUUAUGGAAAGUAAAUGAAGGACAGGAUGACAUGUAAGUGCUUGGUGGUUAUUUCUUAGAGAUAGGGGAUCCUAGGAGAAGAGAUUAAAAUUUGUGUCUGUGUUAAAAAGUGCCUCCUGGCAUACAGAAACUUAGAACACAUGGGAAGUAUGAGUAAGGAUGGAGAAAAUGGGGCAGAAAUGAUAAUGUAGAAAUGGGGCAAGAGUUAUGACAGCUGGUAUUAGAGGGCCAUUUUAUUAGAUUGGGUAGAAUUCACUAGAGAGUGAAGGAUACAAUUAAUUAAUCAGGGACCAUUUCUAAUAGAAGUUUUAAUUGAGUUAAAGCUGUU
Molecule: non-coding RNA, 5677 nt
Organism: Rattus norvegicus (Norway rat)
Lineage: Eukaryota; Metazoa; Chordata; Mammalia; Rodentia; Muridae
Source: RefSeq, a predicted model, not a curated record